AGCGAACGCUGGCGGCGUGCCUAACACAUGCAAGUCGAACGUGAACGGCUUCGGCCUAGUAAAGUGGCGUACGGGUGAGUAACGCGUGGAUAAUCUACCCUAGAGUUCGGAAUAACCGGCCGAAAGGCUGGCUAAUACUGGAUAGAGCGACGGGACUCGUAAAUGGGUCUUUCGGGAAAGGGAGCUAGCAAUAGCCCUCGUUUUAGGUAUGAGUCCGCGUCUCAUUAGCUAGUUGGUGGGGUAAGNGGCCCACCAAGGCAUUGAUGAGUAGCUGGUCUGAGAGGAUGAUCAGCCACACUGGAACUAGAAACACGGUCCAGACUCCUAGGGGAGGCAGCAGUGGGGAAUCUUGCGCAAUGGACGAAAGUCUGACGCAGCCACGCCGCGUG
Molecule: ribosomal RNA, 389 nt
Filed under: uncultured bacterium
Lineage: Bacteria
Description: bacterial SSU rRNA
Rfam family: Bacterial small subunit ribosomal RNA
Source: RNAcentral